CCCCGAAAGCUAUUUAGGUAGCGCCUCGUGAAUUCAUCUCCGGGGGUAGAGCACUGUUUCGGCAAGGGGGUCAUCCCGACUUACCAACCCGAUGCAAACUGCGAAUACCGGAGAAUGUUAUCACGGGAGACACACGGCGGGUGCUAACGUCCGUCGUGAAGAGGGAAACAACCCAGACCGCCAGCUAAGGUCCCAAAGUCAUGGUUAAGUGGGAAACGAUGUGGGAAGGCCCAGACAGCCAGGAUGUUGGCUUAGAAGCAGCCAUCAUUUAAAGAAAGCGUAAUAGCUCACUGGUCGAGUCGGCCUGCGCGGAAGAUGUAACGGGGCUAAACCAUGCAC
This 339-nucleotide ribosomal RNA is filed under the name Escherichia coli. Its description in RNAcentral is "partial 23S ribosomal RNA". It matches the Rfam family "Bacterial large subunit ribosomal RNA", at positions 857 to 1194 of the family's 2925-position model. The record is from RNAcentral. Lineage: Bacteria; Pseudomonadati; Pseudomonadota; Gammaproteobacteria; Enterobacterales; Enterobacteriaceae.